RNAcentral lists this transfer RNA (69 nucleotides) under Sphingobacterium sp. JB170. It matches the Rfam family "tRNA". Rfam says of the family: Transfer RNA (tRNA) molecules are approximately 80 nucleotides in length. Their secondary structure includes four short double-helical elements and three loops (D, anti-codon, and T loops). The record is from Rfam by way of RNAcentral. Lineage: Bacteria; Pseudomonadati; Bacteroidota; Sphingobacteriia; Sphingobacteriales; Sphingobacteriaceae.
GGAGGCUUAGCUCAGUUGGUUCAGAGCAUCUGCCUUACAAGCAGAGCCACAGCUGACAAAAAGUCGCUC